Molecule: ribosomal RNA, 423 nt
Filed under: uncultured bacterium
Lineage: Bacteria
Description: bacterial SSU rRNA
Rfam family: Bacterial small subunit ribosomal RNA
Source: RNAcentral
UCGGGAAUUUUGGGCAAUGGGCGAAAGCCUGACCCAGCAACGCCGCGUGAAGGAUGAAAUCCCUCGGGAUGUAAACUUCGCAAGAACAGGAAGAAUAAGUAAGAGUUAAUAUCUCUUACGAUGACGGUACUGUUUGUAAGCUCCGGCUAACUCCGUGCCAGCAGCCGCGGUAAUACGGGGGGAGCAAGCGUUGUUCGGAUUUACUGGGCGUAAAGGGCGCGUAGGCGGCCACCGCAAGUCGACUGUGAAAUCUCCGGGCUUAACCCGGAAAGGUCAGCCGAUACUGCGGGGCUAGAGUGCAGAAGGGGCAACUGGAAUUCUCGGUGUAGCGGUGAAAUGCGUAGAUAUUCGCAAGAACACCAGUGGCGAAGGCGGCUCACUGGCCCGAUACUGACGCUGAGGUGCGAAAGCGUGGGGAGCAAA